RNAcentral lists this ribosomal RNA (410 nucleotides) under uncultured bacterium. Its description in RNAcentral is "bacterial SSU rRNA". It matches the Rfam family "Bacterial small subunit ribosomal RNA", at positions 29 to 433 of the family's 1533-position model. The record is from RNAcentral.
AGUGAACGCUGGCGGCAGGCCUAAUACAUGCAAGUCGAACGGCAGCACAGUGGAGCUUGCUCCAUGGGUGGCGAGUGGCGGACGGGUGAGGAAUACAUGGGAAUCUGCCCAGUCGUGGGGAUAACGUAUGGAAACGUACGCUAAUACCGCAUGCGCCCUUCGGGGGAAAGUCGGGGGACCGCAAGGCCUGACGCGAUUGGAUGAGCCCAUGUUCGAUUAGCUAGUUGGCGGGUAACGGCCCACCAAGGCGACGAUCGAUAGCUGGUCUGAGAGGAUGAUCAGCCACACUGGAACUGAGACACGGUCCAGACUCCUACGGGAGGCAGCAGUAGGGAAUAUUGGACAAUGGGCGACAAGCCUGAUCCAGCCAAUGCCGCGUGAGUGAAGAAGGCCCUCGGGUUGUAAAGCUC